Molecule: long non-coding RNA, 815 nt
Organism: Daktulosphaira vitifoliae (grape phylloxera)
Lineage: Eukaryota; Metazoa; Arthropoda; Insecta; Hemiptera; Phylloxeridae
Exons: 3
Source: RefSeq, a predicted model, not a curated record
UGGAUAAGAAAUCUAUCACCUUAAAAUGAUAGCAUAUUCCAAUCGAAUUGGCAACAAUAAUUCCAUUUCAAAAGUGAAUUAUUUUCGUUUUUUUUUUAACUAAUUCGAAAAGUAUUCCUGAUAUUUAUUUAAUCUUAUAGAUAUGUACUCUUAAUAGUUGCUAUAUCAAGUUACUUAUUAUACAUCGUAUUUUCAUUGGAAAAUUUAAAGGCGAUCAAAAUGGUAAAUAUUUGGGAAAAGACUUGUGCAGUGUUCAGAGGAAGAAACUCUAAAGAAAAUAAAGAUAUCCCUUCAUCAGUCGCGGUUGAUCUGAGAAGUCGCGAAAGUUUAAUUUGGCUUCACACAUGAAAACGGCUAAAGCCAUGAGUCUCCCCCCUCCACGUUACCUUCUUCAAUCUCCAGGAGGAGGGAUUUAAUGCGCUUUAGUCAUCAGCCAUCUGCUUCAGGGGUCCGCAGUGAAUUUUUUUGAUCCGUAAGAUCGCCGCGUCCAAAGUAGUAAGUAUAUAGCAAUGAUCUACGAGAUCGCUGCGACUUCUUUAGGUCCAAAAGGAGCCGCGUCGAAUGAAGGGCUAUAGAUGUUCAUUUUAUGUUUUGUAAUAUCGAUAAAUUAUUAAUUUGGUUUUUAUAAAAACAUACUGUGACAUAGAUUUUGUUCAUAUUUAUCAAUUGCUAUAAGGUCUUUAAUUAAAAAAAAUUCUUCUAUGAAUAUGUUUUAUAAUAAAGAAUUUCUUUUAUUUUAAAAAUUGUUUAAAUGUACUCCAGACUCUUAAACCGUGAAAUACAAUAGAUUUUUGAUAAUAGUCUUCAAUAUUAUA